CAAAAGGGCUUGUGUGUGACCUGGCACACGUAGGGCAUCUCCAUUGCUCUACGUGCAGAAUAGACAGCAAGAGAUUUCUGAAUCAUAAUUUAGUUAACUGGACUGCCACUGAUCAUUGGUCCCGGUGCCCAA
This is a small nuclear RNA of Echinops telfairi (small Madagascar hedgehog), 132 nucleotides long. Lineage: Eukaryota; Metazoa; Chordata; Mammalia; Afrosoricida; Tenrecidae. The record is from Ensembl.